This is a long non-coding RNA of Mastomys coucha (southern multimammate mouse), 2698 nucleotides long. RefSeq lists it as uncharacterized. The transcript has 2 exons. The record is from RefSeq and is a predicted model, not a curated record. Lineage: Eukaryota; Metazoa; Chordata; Mammalia; Rodentia; Muridae.
UUGCACCAACCCCUUAUUCUUAGACUAACCAUAUGCCAGAAUCCUGUGGCCUCAUAAAUAGCAAAGUUGCUGGCAACAUAAGCUUCCCUGGGUGGGGCUGAACCGGCUGCGUGUCCUGGGAAACCCUAAGGCUCGCCCACUGGGUGCGCAGGGGUGAGUGAACAGGCUGUAAGGGAUGGGUGCGGUCCCUUCCCACGGACCUGCCGCUCCUCCGCCUGCAUCCCGUACUCCUCGCGCAUCCGCAGCAGCUCAUCCUCCAGCCUCGCGCGCAGCUGCUCCAACUCCAGCGCCUGGUUCCGCAGCGCGUCCGCCUCCUGCGCGCACAGCCGCGCCUCGUCCUCCGCCUGGAGCCGGCUCUCUUGGCCGCGGCGCAGCGCCUGCUCCAGCUCGCGCACCUCGUCCUCGUACAGCUGCAUGCUCUCCCUCCACGACUCGGUCACCAGCAGGGCGUAGCUGUCGUGCACUUCCCGCAGGCGCGGCGGGGGCGCGGCGGGGCCGGUGGCCCGGGCUCGGAAGUGCAUGGUGAGGCUGGCGGCGCGGGCUCGCAGAUCUCGCACUUGGCGCUCGUGGGCAGCUUCCAGGUCGCGGCGCUCAGCCUCCAGCCGAGCCAGCAGCGCCUCGAGGGCGGCACGCGCGCCCAGCGCCUCCUCUAGCUCCCGCCGCUGCGCUCCCAGCUCGGCAUCCAGGCGGCUGCGGGCAGUGCCGGCUUCCACACCCUCCCUCUGCAGCUCCAGCAGCUCCCUCCGCAGCGCGUCGCGCUCGCCCUCGGCCAGAGCUGUGGACCAGCUCAGUUCGUCCAGCUGCUGUCGCAGGCUGCGCGCCUCCUCGGCGUAGAGUGCCUGAUCCUCGGCCCAGCGAUCCUCCUGGCUCAGCCGGCUGCGCAACUCCUCCUCCAGCAGCAGGUUCUCGCGCUCCAGCUCUCGCACCCGGCACACGUAGUCAUAAAGCCGGGCAUUGAGCUCCUGGAGCUCGGCCUUUUCGGAGCUUGUUUGUAGCCGCCAGGACAGCAUCUUGCUGGGUGUGCCGGACCCUUUUCGAUUAACCGCUUGCCUCCUGCCCUGAUCUUGUCCCCUCCGCCCCGCCGCGCCGCGCCCGCCUUGCCGCUGUCUCGGAGGCCCUUGGACUGGCGCACGGACUGGCGAGCUUCCCCACUUAGUGGCCAGGUCCCGCGGCCGUGGACUUGGGCCACCGCCUCCAGCCAAUCAGGACGCGGCCCGCCGGCCUCUGCGGCCGGAGAGCGCCCCCUGCCGGAAAGAUGGAGGCAUGGUGAGGCUGCCCUGCACUGACCGCCUGGUGGCCCAGGGGGUGCGUCAACACUUGAUCUCUGAUGAUCAUCACUAGAUCUGCCUGCUCACCCAUCCUGAGCAUCCUGUCCUUGGACACCCCAUGAUCGCAGACCCUCAUGGAGCAGCUGUAGAGUCACAUGGACUCAGCUGGAAUGGUCAACUCUCAGCACUUUGAAUGUCCAGACUCCCAGAAGUUCUGGCUGGGGGUAGGGAGCCAUCAGUGGCCCCAAUAAGAGGUUGUUUUGCUUUGACUCCUUAGGGUUUUCUUGCCCUACCCUCCCCCCCAAGUGUUGGAUUGUAAAACUCAAAACUUCUCCUCACUUCUGCUGUAAACCCAUCUCUAAGGAGAUGACUGCUCUGGGCCACAGCUUAGCAGAAGAAAGAUAAAAAUAACAGAAACGUGCAUGCCACUGAUUAAUAUUCCAAAACAACAUCCCACUGAUCAGACCCAAUCCUGAGAACUGAGAUUCGGAGGUGUGGGCUAAUGUCCUUAAAUACAUGACUGCAAAGUGUCAGAAGGAGCAAGCAUAUUAGAGGUGACCAGGGGAGACACAACCUGAGCAGGCAAAGGCUGCACAUUCAAAAAGAAGAGAAUUACCAAGUGGGAGGGAGGAGAGGGCUCUUUGCAAAGGACUGUGGGAUGGAGACGCACCAGUGACUUAGUGCCCGAGUGCUGGGGUAGCCUGGAGCUCUGGAAGCUGGCCCCUGGAUGGAGGAGAACUGCAGAAUGCGUCCUAGAAGGGAGAAGGAGAGCCCAACCUCUCUUUUCCUGCUGUUCCCCUGCCAGGGUCUCCCACUGUGAAAGCCAGUAAUUGCUGAAGCCUGGCCUUGGUGUAUGGGAUAGGUCUCCUGCUGAGUGAGACUGCCACUUGUUACAGUGAACCAUGGGGUCGAACACAGCUACUGUGGAAAAUAAUUAUACAAGCUUAUAAUUCACAAUGCAACAAGAGGGAAAUAACUACUCAAAAUGUAACAUGUCCUAAUCAUUCAGCUGCAUUUUCUUAUCUGUUCUUGAAGUUCUGAAUGGAUAAUGUUCAUGAACAUUGUGUCUGGGUAUUGAAUAUAGAAAUCAGUCAGUGAUUUGUUAUCUUUGGCUGGGACCUUGCUUUGUGGGGUGUCUAGCCUUAGUCUUACCUUUGGUGUACCUCUAUUAAGACUGCGGGUUAGCCAGGUGGUGGCUGCAGCAGUGCACACCUUUAGUCCCAGCACUGAGGAAACAGGGGCAGGUAGAUGAAUCUCUGGGAGUUCGAGGCCAGCCUGGUCUACAGACUGAGUUCCAGGACAGCCAUGGUUACACAGUGAAACCUUGUCUCAAAAAAGAAACAAUCAAACAACAACAACAACAAUAACAACAACAAGGAAAGUCUACAGGUUAAACUUACGUUGUAGCUAUUAAAUUGGGAAUAGUGUAA